Small nuclear RNA from Cercocebus atys (sooty mangabey), 103 nucleotides. Lineage: Eukaryota; Metazoa; Chordata; Mammalia; Primates; Cercopithecidae. The record is from Ensembl.
CUCUGUCUCAAAAAUAAAAUAAAAUUGGAAUGAUACAGAGAAGAUUAGCAUGACUCCUUUAAAGGAAAGACGUGGUCCGUGUCCUCAAGGGACUCAAGAGUCU